RNAcentral lists this ribosomal RNA (468 nucleotides) under uncultured bacterium. Its description in RNAcentral is "partial 16S ribosomal RNA". It matches the Rfam family "Bacterial small subunit ribosomal RNA", at positions 28 to 507 of the family's 1533-position model. The record is from RNAcentral.
GACGAACGCUGGCGGCGUGCUUAACACAUGCAAGUCGAACGGAAAUGCCCUGCUUUUGUGUGGUUCUCCAGUGGCGAACGGGUGUGUAACACGUGAGUGACCUGCCCUUGACUUUGGGAUAACUUCAGGAAACUGGGGCUAAUAGCAGAUAGGAGCUCCUGCUGCAUGGUGGUGGUUGGAAAGUUUCGGCGGUUUGGGAUGGACUCGCGGCUUAUCAGCUUGUUGGUGGGGUAGUGGCUUACCAAGGCUUUGAGGGGUAGCCGGCCUGAGAGGGUGACCGGGCACAUUGGGACUGAGAUACGGACCAGAAUCCAACGUGAGGCAGCAGUGGGGAAUAUUGUACAGUGGGCGGAAGCCUGAUGCAGCAACGUCGCGUGCGGGAUGACGGCCUUUGGGUUGUAAACCGCUUUCGCAUGUGAUGAAGCGUGAGUAACGGUAAUGGGUAAAGAAGCACCGGCUAACUACGUG